GUCGAAGCAAAAGGGAAUGUGAAGACUGUUGUCUAUCUGCUUCAUUUGUUACUCUGUGCUCAGCCCUUAGCUGUAGAAAGUAGAUGUAGAUUAGAUUAAUCCAGCAUGUUUAUUUAAGAAUAAAGGCCGUGUUUUGGACUGAUAUCGCCGUAGAAUUUAAUACAUUAUUUGUCUUUGGUUUCUUUAAACAAUAAACACGGGUUUAGGGUUAGAUUGAGGGAAUAACAAAGCAAGUACACACGGUCUUCCGAGGGAGAAACAGGGCAGGGCUCUUUCGAAAGUGGUGUCACAGAACAGCUCUUGAUGUCAGCAACUAAUGGCUGUAGAUUAACCAUUAUCUUAACUAAUGUUUAUGACUGAUGGCUGAAAGGGAGGGAACUUGCUCCCCAGUUGUAAACAUUCCCUCACGUGACUGUAUGCAGAGGCCAGGCCCUGUUUACUUGGACAGUCGCAGAAGUUGGUGGCGGACAUUGAAUCUUCAACCUCCUAAGAGACUGACGACAUCUGUAUUUUCGGAUGCACCCCCACCUGUGAACAGGGAAACCUGGAAAGAUGAGAAGAGGAAGCUGAAGCCCAGUUCUUGAGAUGCAGUGAUGAAGUUUCAGCCUAGUUCCAGGAUGGGAAUGCAGUAAAUGAUCCUGAAGCAACACUGAGGCUCCUCCUGUGAAAUAUCCACAGUCCAGUGUGUAUAGAGAAAGUGCUUGCUGGCUCUCCCAAGUGUUGACGGUCCUGUGUCUUCAAGAGAUGCAUUCCAGGACAAGAAAACACUGACUCAUUUGGUUUUGUGAAUAACCAAGACCCCUGUCCACUACUUCUGAAAAUUCUGCUGGUAGCAUGAUGGAGAAUUGGUGGGAUACAGUAGUGUCACUUUCUGGAGCUAUGGGAUACAGAAGAUAAAAAGUGAUUUGAAAAAUCUGAAGGUCUUGAGUGUAAACUUACAUAAGUUCUAAAAAUGGGAAGAAUUUUUUUGGAUCAUAUUGGUGGCACUCGCCUGUUCUCCUGUGCAAACUGCGACACGAUCCUGACCAACCGCUCAGAGCUCAUCUCCACUCGCUUUACAGGGGCAACAGGAAGGGCCUUUCUUUUUAACAAGGUGGUAAAUCUGCAGUACAGUGAAGUUCAGGACCGGGUCAUGCUCACUGGCCGCCACAUGGUCCGGGACGUGAGCUGCAAGAACUGCAACAGCAAACUGGGCUGGAUCUAUGAGUUUGCCACUGAAGACAGCCAGCGCUACAAGGAAGGCCGCGUUAUCCUGGAAAGAGCCUUGGUCCGGGAGAGCGAAGGCUUCGAGGAGCAUGUUCCAUCCGACAAUUCCUGAAGAGGCUCCAGUCUCUUCUCAGGUUCUCUUCAAUUGAAACUCAAAUAUAAUAAAAUCAACAAAAAAAAUCUGCUUACAUACACUGUCACCUUAGCAUCAGAGUCGGAUUCAUGGACUACAAAGUGGGAAAGAUUGUGAGAAUAUUUCAGAUGGAACCUUCCUUUCUUUAUUCCUUUUAUAUUUUACUUUCCCUCCAGCAGCUGUUUGUAGAAAGAAUGUUGUGCAGAUGCUGUAACUUUUACUCUCUUUCAUUUACAUCUGUUAGAUUUGAGAUUGUAUCUUAAGGUACAGUGGGCUAGAAGGAAAAUACUUGCAGGAUUUGUCUUUUGUUGGAGAGAAAUUCAAUGAGGUGUUUUUUUGUUUUUUUUUAGUUUGCACAAACUAAUGUCAACAUCAAGUUAUUUUAAAUCUACAGAUGUUUUUUUAAAAGUAUAUUCCAACUUUUGGCUUAAGUUUUUAGUUAGGUUUUUCGUUUUUUGGGCUUUUUUUUUUACCCAGCCUUUUCACCUGGUUUGCUAGUAAAAGUGAAGAGAUCCGAAUUUGUGCUGAGUGCUAAAGGUUCAGUGUUGGUACGGCUUGGGCUGGCCCAUGUGCCAUAUUCUUGUUGAGGUUGAUUGGUAGCACAGAGCCCAUUAUUUCUUGUCAUUCUUGACCCAAAGAUGUCACCAUUCCUUGUUUAUUUGUGAAGUCCCAUUCACCACGUAAACUGGUGUUGAUUGGAAACUAUCCUUGAAAUAGGGCAAAACUGCUUGGCUUUUUUUAACUUUAACAGAUGUAACUUAUGAGCAUAGUAAUAAUAUAAAGUAAUAGCUGUCUGUUUAGUCUUGCAUUGCUUAUAAAUCCAGCUGUGUUUGUAAUGAUAGGGAUCCACUGAGAAACUACUGUUUCAGUAGUCGUUUUUUUUCGUUUCUCUACUAAUCUCAUUAAGUUAGACAAGGAAUUGCAAAUCUUAAUUCUUCUUCAAGUAGCUUUCUUUAAACCCAGAACUUCCUAUGUUAAACACAGCUGCUGUGUAAAAGGAGAAGAUUGCCAGCAUGUUUGUUCAUGCGUAGAGUUAUGCAAUCUGCAUCUCUUGAAACGAUUAACUUAAACAGCUUGUUUUCAAAUGCUGCUUCUGGUGUUGAAACCUUUAUCUUUCAACUUUGUUGAACUUUUUCAUUGUGAUGUUACAUUUUUAUCUUUCUGGGCAGCAGUACAUGUCAGCCUAGUAGUAACUAGUGACUUGGAUUCCUGCUUUGUUCUUGUAGAGGUCAGCUCUGUUUAAAGCAGUGAUCUUGCUUGCCUUUUUUAGCAAAAAUGCUCUUCAUUAACUUAAUUCAAGGGUGCCCAAACACUUUCAUUGUGUCUUAAGCCAUAAGUCAAGAUCUCAAGGGCUGAAAUUUAUUUGAAUGUUAGAUCUGUAUGAUUUCUUACCCAAGAUAUGAGUUGGUUGUGGUUUUUUUUUCCUUAUUGGAUAAAUUGUGGUCAACGUGAAAUAAGUUACCCACAGGCGUAGGAAAGGGGGGGGAGCCCCACCCAGCCAAACAGAUCUGGGUUCUGACCUUUCAGAAUAACUUUUCUUCUCUAGCCACAGCUCCAUAUCUGAAACUAAGGUGUGGAGGAUGGCUAUGCAGAGUAUUUUUCUUAAUGUUUUUUUGGUUGCCAAGUGGCAAGUUGGACACCCCUGACUUGAAUCUACUGCCUCUUCCAUGUAAAGGUAGCUUUGUUCUAGAAAUGUCACAUAGAAAGAAAACAGAGUAGAUCACAUACCAGAGCUGUGCUUGAAUCAAGCUGCUUAAACAAUAGUGUACUUGUGCCUCAAAUGAAUCAGUUUUUGCACUGAGUACAGUAGUACCCCAUUAUCUUGUACUUCUGUCCUUCACAGACCCUGGAAGCGCCAUUAGCAUGGUUCUCUGCAGUACUUUUCUUGUACUUCUGACAUUACAGUACAAUAAAGUAUGUUUUGUCCUGAACUGAUCUUUGCUGUCCUUCUAGAAUUAUUGUCACAGAGUGUGUCAAAUCGCAUAACCCAUCUUUCAUUCCUUGUGUUAAGUUUCUGCAGCAUAGUGACAAGAGUGGCAAGAGUUCUGUUGAUUUUGGAAGGUGCCAAGUAGAGCUUCAUGCAAACCACUUGGAUACUUGAAAGCCAUCAAUUUGCUUCUGUUAAAGAGAAAACAAAAAAUGUCUCAUUUAACGGAGUUCCGGGUGCCAAAUGUCUUUCCAUGACUUUGAAAAGACAGCAAGCUAAGCAAAAAAUUCAACUUCUGCAAGAAACUUGAAGUUUUGGCUUCUGAAAUGGCUUGGGAAUUAAUGAAUUGGGUAUUAUGUAUCUGGACUUUUUCCUUUGUGUUCAGAUGUUAGGCAGAAACCUGCUAGCAGCUGGUCAACUUCUAAGGCUGUAGCUGAAGAACUGAGAUGAGAGGAUCAUUCUGUUGGUGUGAUGGGGACUGGGGCUCUUACUCUAACUUACAUGAAGACCAUUUUGAUAGAAUGUUGUGAGAUGAUAAAAUUACUUUUCACAAAGCCUUUGAUUUGAUUUUAAAAACACAUAUGAGGUGAACUCUUAAAAAUCCCAUGAGACUUAAGACUCUGCAGCUUUAAAGCAGUAGACUUUGGCUUGCUGUUUUAGCUUACAUGCUGUUCCCAACCAUAUCACUUUUGAUGGCUCUGGGAGAGUUUAGUCUCCUAUAUUUUGGCUGCUCCUCCUUGAGACACUUGGUGUGUGAACACAGAUAACUUAUCUCCGGGGAACAAGGCCAUUGGUUACAGCACUUCUAGAGACAGAGGAGACAUUGCUAUUUGGCAUCAGCUGCAAUUUUGUAGUAGUGGAGUAGUCUGGGAUUCUCAAACAAGGGCUGGCACAGGAAAAUGUGCCACUACAGUGAUCUUUUGCCAGGCACAUGGUGGGGUCUGAGGUAAAGAAGGGAGCAAGGAAAUUGCAGUGCACAACAGACUGCACUGUGCAUUCCUGGAGACCUCAGAAUCUGCUCAUAGGCUGCAGCUUGGGCCAGCAGUGGUGCUGUGACAUUUCCAUGACGUGAGCUGGAUUGGAGUUCAUGUCACCUGUGCUAUGAUCUCAUCCUGUGGGUGUCCUCAAAACUGAAAUACUUCCUUGCUACUGUUUCAGCAAAGCACAGCUUUGGGAAGUGGAAAAGAUUGGAUGGUGUGUUUGUGAAGUGUAAAAGCAUUUUACUUAUGCUCUCCAGGGAUGUUAGAAGAACUUCUGAAGUGAUGUACAUGUCUCAUGGCUCUAUUAGGAAAAGUGACCUUGCAUGUGGCUCUGGGGUUGGCUGUGGUUACUGCCACAGCCUUAUUCUUACAGGGAAAGCUUGUCUCUGCUGAUUUGAGUCAAAGCUUUAGAAAAAAAAGUCAGCAGGUCAUCAAUGGAUGAGCAGGUAAGGAACAGGUGAAGCUGCAGUUGAGGUCAUAAUUGCCAGGUACAGGGAUGAGGUGGCUGGGAAGGCUCUGACAUUGAUGUGGGAAGAGGCGAGCUGGUUGAUGAACCCUGUUUUAGAUGAGAAACACAAGCUGUGAUACUGCAGUACCAUUCUGCAAAACCCAGAAAUAGUGUAUUGUGUUUCUUUCUUUGGUUUGCCUUUACUUAGAACAGCAAUAAAUUUUAAAAAUUCAGUGAAGCUUGCUUUCCUGUGGAUCUCAAGGGCUUUUUAGACUUCUUGAUGCCUGACAAGGAUGAAAUGCCUCUGUCUUUUUAUUUUGCUUGGGCCACUGGUAAGAAUUGCUCUCCAAUCCUGGUUUUUCAGGACUUAAAAGGACUAAGCUUUUUUGAGUCUCCUCUCUUCAUAGCCUGGAGUUAAAAUUGCCCAAAAACUUCCAAGAGUGCUUUGAGUGGUGAGGAGGAGUAUGACCUGAUUGAUAAUCUUCCUGUGCAAGUUUUUUUUCAGUCUUUUUUGCAUUUCUUGCAGGAAAUCUGAAAUAUGGCCAAAGAAAGUGAGUUGCUGUCUGUUUCAGUACAUGUUGUGUGGCAAAGACCUUCAACAGCUGAUGACAAGCCUGGUUUCUGCAAGUGUGGAGCUCUUCCUGGUCUCAUAGUUACUUCCUUCCCUACCUCUCUCUCAUGUAAGAAUUUUUGGUACAUGUAGGAAAGUGCGAGGGCAGAAAUCUCACAUCUGCCUUCCAGCCUUUUGUUUACUGGUAGUGUUGCUCUUACUUGAAUGGAUUUCUGUGAUCUCAGUAAAACUCCUGCCAAGCUGUUGCUGCUUUUUUAUUUAAAGGCUCUUCUGGCAGAAUACUAGUGACUUUCUCAUCUCUCAUCCCCAAGUCUAGGCAGAGGUUGUUUGGGAGUGUGCUUGACUGAACAUUGUACUCUGGGUCUGGGUGAUGUGAAGGAAGACCUCAUUCACACCUUUCCAGGAUACUUCCAUUGUUGUGCUGCAGCUCUUUCCUUCUGAUGCUAUUUUAAGUGUGAUUUGCUAAAGUUUGCAUUGCAAGUCCUCCUUCUUAAAAGGAGGUGACAGCAGUGUGUGUCUCUUAAACAUGGUGUUUCACUCUGAAGGACCUGAAAUACUUGCAAUUUGAUACUGAGUGCUUUGUGUGCUACUCAGUUGGAAGGGGUGGCUGUGUUCCUGUUUGACUUGCUCCUGCAAAAAUAAGCCCUGGUGCUUGUCUAAGAUAUGGCCAAAACUCUCCCUGCAAUGGGAGUUAGGAUAUGGAGGAGAAACCCAGGUGAAAGUGUGUGCAUGUGUCUGAUUCAUGUCAACUAAACUGGUCCCUCUGAAGCAACAGAGGUGGGAGAAAUUCUAGAGGUAAGCUUGUGCCUUUUCUUUUUGCCUUGUGUGGUUUCAAUCACACAAAAUCACUUGGGCAUGGCAGAGGAUCUGAGGUCCCCUGAUGAACAGAGUGGGAAGUGCAGCACCAGGGCUUUGGUACAGGCUCUGUGUUGUGUUUGGAUGAAGGCAGCUGGAAGGUAUUUGUCCUUUGAAGUAGGCUCUGUUUUUGUUCUCAUUAGCUGAAGCAUUUAUUACUGUCAGGAACUGGACUUUGUAUAGAAGUGAAAGUAGAAAGAACAAAAGGCUAUGGUAAUAAUUUGGAUUUUCUAAGCAUGAGGGGUAAAUGGGAGAAAGAAGAAUGUUCAGAUCUUGUAUUUUGACUCUGCCCAGGACAGAGAUGUUUGUUUGCCUGACAUCAAGAUCCAGUGCUGGUUCUCUCUGGGACUUGGGGAUGUUUAGAUACACGGUUUUGCUUUGUCCUUUUGUUAGUGUUUGAUUUGACUGUUGUAAACAUUUACAGGUGUUUGAAACAGUAAGUUUACUGGAUUACAACAGACUGCAUGCCAUGGUUGUUUGCACUCUAAUGGCAGAUGUUGCAAUAGAUGUAGUUAGUGGAGUAGGGAGAUCCCUUUUCUUCGAGGGGAACAUAAGGUGGGAUGGCUCAUACAAGGCUGCUUAAUCGAAGAAUUUCCUGAUGGCUUUCAGCUCUCUUUAGAGACAGCUAUCCUCUGUCCCUGGAAGUUUGAAAACUGAUAUUCCAGACACAGGUAUAUGGUGAGUAUAAAAUGAAGAGGACAUUUAUUAUUUUCAGGGGCAGAUCUUGGCACAUGUGCGUGGUCAAGAAGGUGGGAUGCUCUGAAUUUAGUAGUGAGAACUCAGGUACAUCCCAUGGACAGAGUGCUGAGAGCCUCUGUGGUUAUGCUCCUGUUGGUAUUUGGCCAACAGAUCUUUUCCCCCAUCCUACCCAUUUUUAUUUUCUUUGGUCUGGUCUGUAGUGAUUGUUGUACCUUCCCUGCAGAAUUAGUGCAGCUUAAGGAGGCAGUCACUUCUACUAUCCUGUACUCUACCAGUACAAUGGAUUAGUUGUUGCAGCUCAGAGGGAUCCAUGGAUUGUCUAUUCCAUGUCUCCCUGCUGAGGAGGGAUUAGUUUAGAGAUGUACUCAAUGAGAGUGCAUUCUUGGGACAAAGUUCCUCAGCAGGAUUUCUUACUGUAGCCAAAAGUACAUUAGAGAGAUAGGAUUUAGGUCACAAAAGUAGAACACUUGAAGAAAGCCAGGUUUCCAAUGGAUUGGGUAGCACAUGGUUACCCUGUCCCUGCAUACGUGCAGCUCGGGGAUGAAAGUAUGUGAUCACAAGAGCAAGGAUGGCACCAUCAUCACCCUUUUAUAUGGUAUGCAUUGAACUGGUAGCUGCAGUCUCCAUCCCACCAUUCCUAAAUCUGGACUGCUGGACUUAUUUUGUUCUAAAGGCAAUUUGAAAAUGAACUUUCCAAUGUGCAUUUAAGUACAAAAAUGAAAAGGAAACGAGAUUAUAUUUGUAAUUGCUGGCUUCUUCAUGACUGGGAUUUGAACUGGAAACCCCCUUUCAUCACCACUUAAGCUCCACAGCUGACUGCUUCUUAACCAGUGGCUGGAGGAAGAUUUUUGGUGAAGAAAGAUGAGCAGAUGACAGAUGAAGGCUUUAGAUUUGAUGUAAAGUCUCAGUAUGGGACAGGGAAUUUUAUUUUCAGUUUGUACACUAGUUCUGGUUUGGUUGAGGCAGUUGUGGUUUUUUGGUUUUGGUUGGGGUUUGUGUUUUUCCCCUUCUGAUACACAGAGUUGGUGAAUUUCCUGCUCCAUGUAGGACUUUGCAGGAAGAAAUGGGAAGAUGAAAAAUAUGCUGUAUUUCCUAUCCAGGCUGCCUAUCUGACUCUUGCUUCCAGGCUCCUGAGCUUGGGAAGGUUCCUGCUCCAUGCAUGCUCCCUGUCAAGGAGAGAACAUCGCCAUCAUUCAUGUGCCACAUUCCUGGGAAAGGGAGGAGCACUGGGAGGCAGCUUUCCAUCUCACCCUGCUCCAUUUGCUCUGUCAAGCAGCAGGUAAGCUCAGGGCUCCUGGAAGCUUUGGCUGCCUGUCAAAACAAACCAGAGGCACAGAAAAACAACAGCUUUUAGCACUCAGUCCCGUGCAAAUUCAGGACCUAAAAUUCUAGUGUUGCUCCUAAAAAUAGACACAAAGCCAUUUCCCCCAUAAAACUCACUUCAGCAGCAUUUGUAUUUUUAUGUCAAAAGGUUGAAGGAGAAGGUGGGGGAUGCUUGCCACAGGAACUGAGGGCAGAGCAAAGGCAGAGAAGGAUGCUCUGUCGGAGGUUUUGCCGUUUCUUGCCGGCAGUGUUGAUGUUUAGAUAUCGGCUCCAGGUUCCUUGGGGAAGGUGAUGCUUAUCACUGGCUCCUUUACCUGGCUCCUUUUUGAUCCCUUCUCCCCCUGUUCUCUGCAGCCCGGGGUGCUUUGUUCCUCCUGCAGUCUGUGCUUUCGCCGCUCAUCACCUCCCCUCCGCUCCCUCCUUCCUGCCCCGCUCCUCUCCUCGCAUCCCUGCUGGGAUUUCAGCCGGUGGCCUCGUUCCUCCCCUCGGGCUCGGCCUCGCCGCGGCCGUGCGGUGACCCGGGGACACGGAGGGGCUGCUGCCGGUCUGAUUCACCGGGCUGGCACGCAAACAGCACACACAGCCCUGCCAGCACGCUGCUGGGGGUGAGGCAAAGUGGCACUGCAUCAGAGAUGGGGGUUUCAUCCCGCCCCUGUGUGCUGCCAGGGAGGCGUGAAGAACACUCACAGACACACAGACACGGACAGACACACACACACUGAUCCUGCUGUUCUCAGCUCAGCCCCGCUGGCACUGAUGCUCAGCAGAGACAGGUCUGGAGAAGGCUCUGCUCAUCUCUGCUGCAUGGGGCUGGCACCCAGGGAUGUCCAAGGAGCUGAGAUGGACACUGCACACCCCUCUGCAGACACACAGGGGGAUAUUUUGUGCUCCUCUGAUAUUUUUUGUGACCAGACCUCAGAGGGGAGUGCCAGCCAUUGUCAAAUGUCUGCUACACAUCUUGCUUCAUGUGUGUGUGGGGUAAAUCCAUCUUCUCUGCAAAGCACCAGUGUUCCACAUACCCAUCAGCACUAUAUUGAAGAUUUCUGCUGUUAAAAAAAAGCCACUGUUGCACUCCCUUCCCAAAGCAUCUGGGAGCUGACCCUCAUGGCAUGGUAUGAAUCCAGCUCUGUGCCAGCUCACCUCCUGGGGGCAUCUGCACAUCCCUUCCCCUAUCAUCAGCUCUGCAGUGAAAUGUGCCCAUUCUAAUAGUCAAGGUCUGUGUUUCAGAAAUAUCAAUGGCUGGGGAUAUACCACAUGCCAUACCUUAGCAACCCUGUAUUUUAAUGAGGAGCUAUUUUCUGACAGCACAAGAGAGUCUGUGGGAGUUUUAACAUCCAGGAAUGUUGGGGAGUGAAACCUGAAGCAGAACUUGUCAGCCUGCAAAUUAUUUAUUACCUGUGAGCAAAAGAAGUGUGGGCUGGACUUCCACUAAUUGCUGUGGCCUGGAGAUGUGGUCCUGCCUGCUUUCUUGGCCAGAUCUCCUCUGCCUACCUUUUAGCUGAGAGAAUUGGGACUCCCUGUCCUUCCUGGGGAGAGCCUUUCUCCGUCCAAGGAGUGUACCUGGGUCUUGAAAGGUUUUCCUGGAAAAUUCUCAUUUUAUUUUCCUGGUUGGUCAAAGCUGCUAACAAAGACACUUCGAUUUGUCCUCAUAGAAGAAUAACUUCAGCCAAUCUUCCCAAGGAGGCUGCUGCUACAAUUUGUGAUUAAAGUGAUUUAUGAUUCCAGCUCAUCCUGAUCUGGCUGAACUAGACAUCUAUGGAAUUUGAAAGGGAAGCACUGUUUGUGACUGGCUUGAAGGAUAUAUGAUAUCUGACUAUAAUCUUUAGGAUAAAACAUGUCCACAUCACUUCAAGUUCUUAGGCCAGACCUAAGUUUGCAUGUUUCUUCUGAAAAAAACCUUGGGUCAGGUCCUUCCCAAGGCUGUGUUUAAGCACUGUUUAUUACAACAACAAGCUUUGGGACAGACAUUGUUUGUCUCAUGUUGGUUGAAGUAGUAUUUAUAGGAAAUCUGAAGCAACUUUAUUUCCCCAGGAUUCCACACAGAGAAUGUCAGAUUUGGAGCUUUCUAAAGGCAGCUGCCACCUUAAAAUAGACUGGGAGAAUUCCUAUUGUUCAGGUGACAUAAUGAGGCUGAGAUGCAAAUGCAGAGGGAAGCAAUAGCUGACCAUGAGCGUUGCACUGUGGGGAGAGUGAGAUGCUCUGUGUGUCACCCCACCAGCAACUCUGCUGAGGAGCACAGGAAAACACAUCGGUCAAGCUUCAUUGAAUCCAGGACACCCUCACAGAUUGCCUGAGUGAAUCAGCAGUUACCAGCACUGGGCUACAUUUUGUUGCUGAAAAAUCCUACUUGCAUCUAGAGGAGUCAGAAGGAUGGCAGGUGGUACAGGCCUGGGAAUGAAGAGGCCUCAGGCCGAUGUCCACUGCUGCCACCAGCUUUCCCCUAUACCCCAUUUUCCCUACAAGGUCAUCUCACUUUCUGACUUUCAAAUUACCACCACCCUGUGUGAAAUAAGAGGGCUGUGAAAGAGGUAGAAGUUGUCUGUCAAAAGUACUAUUUUGUCAACUAAAGAAGCCAUGGCAACAUAAAGCUACAGCACAGUUUCCAUCACAAGACUAACUUGAGUCAGUCACUGCCUUUGAAACAUCUGUGGUGUGGGCUAAAAGUAGACUUUUCUACCAGAAUUGAAGGACAUUGAAGGAGUCACAAAAAGUAGCCUAAAAUAGGGUGAGGAAAAGAGGAUUAUCAGAUAAGGGUGGGGGGAGGAAGGAAGAACAGAAGAGUGCAAGAAGUGCCUCAAGUUUCCCUGCUUUUAUUGGUGUUACUCUUCUUCAGCCAGACUGAUGAGUUUACAGGACAUGUUGAAUGGUGACCUAGCAAGUGGAACCACUGUUGAGACUCUUGUUGCUAAGAUUCUUAAUAAUAACCAUGCUCCUGCCAGGAAUUACCUGCAGCUGGGGAGUUACACCACUGCUUACUUCUGCAGGGACUGGGAACUUGUAGGAGCCGUACCUGGGGGUUUUUCCAGAUGUGUACCAGUUCCUCUUUUGCCUUUGUUCUGUGUUAUGCUAACUUCUGUCCUCCCUGCAUUCCUGCUUGUUCUAGGAAUGCAUCUAUCUGGAGACUGGAAAUGUGAGAGAGCAAUAGCAAGUUGAUAUUUUACCUGUGAAAAUGCAAACAUUAGUCCUAGAAGGACAAAGUUGCUUCUCUGUGAGAGCGAUUUGAGAUAUCUGAAAGAGCUGAGAUGUAGCAGGGAAUAUUUUGGAAUGGCUUUGCGAUGUGAGAAACAAAACAGGCCAGUUUGAGGCCUGCAUGUAUUAUGGUAGCCUGCCCUUGGACACAACACACUUGUUUGGAUGGCUAAACUGAUUUUUAUUAAAGAAAAACAUUUCUACAGUGUUUUCCCUUUAAUAUCUCCAAGUGCUUUAAUAGGCUUGGGAGAUGCUGGGGAGCAAUCAACACACAAGCUGUCUGUGAAUCUUGCAGCAUUUAUUUCUAUGAAUGUAAACUUUUCUUACUCUCUUUUUAUUCAGACAUCAAAAGGAAAGGAACAAGAAAAAGGGAAAGGCUGAGACUUAUGCAAAAUACUUUUCUCUAUCCUUUUUUCUGAAGAAAAGAACAAUUACCAUUGCAUGUAAAUAAUCUUUUUUCCCCUUGCCUAUUCUAGACACACUUUCACCACUUCAGUGUAAUUAGGCAUAACGUACUGAGAUGAUUUAUAUGCCAGACCUAAGGACAAUAUUGUGGUUCACUGCUAUUAGGCAGAAGGCACUGAAAUCUCAGUUUACAUUUCAGACCUAACAAAAAAUGCUGUAAUUGUAUCAUUCUUUUAACAGAUGCUUUGAUGCUGAUUUGAAAUUUGGGGACUAUGACUUCAGAUUUUGAAGUAAAAGGCCACCUAAGAUAAUGAGCAAAAAGACAGGAACAGAGUUAAAAUAUUAAGGGUCGGGUGUGCAGGGAUGCUUUUAAGAUGUGCCAGAAAGCCGAAUUCCAAGGACAGGAAGGCAAGCUGGCACACAGAGGAAUUUGGAUGCUUAAACAAAUUGAUGACUUCUGUAAUUAGGAGUUUUAAAACCCCCUUAAAAAGAAAUUAAGGGUCUGCAGUGUUGGUAGGAGAUCACUGUCUGAGGGAUGCACAGUGCCCUGAAGAAGGAGGAGAGGUUUAUGUGCAGCCUUGAAGGAGGACAGAGAAAUCACUGUGGUUCUGAACACAUUCUGAACACAGUGCCAGGCUCCCUGCGCUCAGAGCUCACACAGCCACAUGAACUCGGUGCUGCUGUUCCAGAGUUUGACUUGGGCAAGCUAGGGACAGGUUUGCAGGGGUGCAGUGAGCACAGAGAUGUAUGGGUACCUGCUUGCUCUGAAAAUCAGGUUUUACUGUUCUCAGUCUAGCUGCUUUUGUAAAUACUGACCUUGACAAUUUUGGUUCCUUGUCCUGGUAGAGGAGUGCUUGGAGAUGCUCUUGUGAGAAGGAAAUUUCUUCUUGUUUUUGCAAAUUUUUUGAUUAAAAUCUCCUGGCUCCCCUUC
This is an RNA transcript of Parus major (Great Tit), 12667 nucleotides long. It is a transcript of the gene named yippee like 5, with no coding region annotated. The record is from RefSeq and is a predicted model, not a curated record. The transcript is spliced from 10 exons. Lineage: Eukaryota; Metazoa; Chordata; Aves; Passeriformes; Paridae.